AAGGUUGGCGGAGUGGUUGAACGCGGCGGUCUUGAAAACCGUUGACUCGAAAGGGUCCGGGGGUUCGAAUCCCUCACCUUC
This 81-nucleotide transfer RNA is filed under the name bovine gut metagenome. It matches the Rfam family "tRNA". Rfam says of the family: Transfer RNA (tRNA) molecules are approximately 80 nucleotides in length. Their secondary structure includes four short double-helical elements and three loops (D, anti-codon, and T loops). The record is from RNAcentral.